This is a non-coding RNA of Otolemur garnettii (small-eared galago), 152 nucleotides long. The record is from Rfam. NCBI's taxonomy places the organism in Eukaryota, Metazoa, Chordata, Mammalia, Primates, Galagidae.
CAGUGUUGGUUGCUUUUGAAAAUCUCCUUUUGUUCUUGGAUAGCAAAGGAAAUAGAAUUGUGAAAGCCUGGAGCUAUGCUUCCCUUUUGCACAAUAGCAUCUUUACCAGAGGCUGAUGUAUAUUAAAGCACCAAGGAAGCUGCAUUUCUGAA